RNAcentral lists this ribosomal RNA (301 nucleotides) under uncultured bacterium. RNAcentral's name for it is "partial 16S ribosomal RNA". It matches the Rfam family "Bacterial small subunit ribosomal RNA", at positions 509 to 809 of the family's 1533-position model. The record is from RNAcentral.
CAGUAGCCGCGGUAAUACAGAGGGUGCAAGCGUUAAUCGGAAUUACUGGGCGUAAAGCGCGCGUAGGUGGUUUGUUAAGUUGGAUGUGAAAGCCCCGGGCUCAACCUGGGAACUGCAUCCAAAACUGGCAAGCUAGAGUACGGUAGAGGGUGGUGGAAUUUCCUGUGUAGCGGUGAAAUGCGUAGAUAUAGGAAGGAACACCAGUGGCGAAGGCGACCACCUGGACUGAUACUGACACUGAGGUGCGAAAGCGUGGGGAGCAAACAGGAUUAGAGACCCCGGUAGUCCCUGUCUCUUAUCC